CCUACGGGAGGCAGCAGUAGGGAAUCUUCCACAAUGGGCGAAAGCCUGAUGGAGCAACGCCGCGUGGGUGAAGAAGGUCUUCGGAUCGUAAAACCCUGUUGUUAGAGAAGAAAGUGCGUGCGAGUAACUGUUCACGUUUCGACGGUAUCUAACCAGAAAGCCACGGCUAACUACGUGCCAGCAGCCGCGGUAAUACGUAGGUGGCAAGCGUUAUCCGGAUUGAUUGGGCGUAAAGGGAACGCAGGCGGUCUUUUAAGUCUGAUGUGAAAGCCUUCGGCUUAACCGGAGUAGGGCAUUGGAAACUGGGAGACUUGAGUGCAGAAGAGGAGAGUGGAACUCCAUGUGUAGCGGUGAAAUGCGUAGAGAUAUGGAAGAACACCAGUGGCGAAAGCGGCUCUCUGGUCUGUAACUGACGCUGAGGUUCGAAAGCGUGGGUAGCAAACAGGAUUAGAUACCCUAGUAGUC
This 465-nucleotide ribosomal RNA is filed under the name uncultured bacterium. RNAcentral describes it as "partial 16S ribosomal RNA". It matches the Rfam family "Bacterial small subunit ribosomal RNA", at positions 338 to 795 of the family's 1533-position model. The record is from RNAcentral.